This 253-nucleotide ribosomal RNA is filed under the name uncultured bacterium. Its description in RNAcentral is "partial 16S ribosomal RNA". It matches the Rfam family "Bacterial small subunit ribosomal RNA", at positions 524 to 776 of the family's 1533-position model. The record is from RNAcentral.
UACGAAGGGGGCGAGCGUUGUUCGGAUUUACUGGGCGUAAAGGGCGCGCAGGCGGCUUAUUUUGUCAGGCGUGAAAGCCCCGGGCUUAACCUGGGAACUGCGUUUGAUACGGAUGGGCUAGAGUUCGGGAGAGGAGCGUGGAAUUCCCAGUGUAGAGGUGAAAUUCGUAGAUAUUGGGAAGAACACCGGUGGCGAAGGCGGCGCUCUGGACCGAGACUGACGCUGAGGCGCGAAAGCUAGGGGAGCAAACAGG